AGUGAACGCUGGCGGUAGGCCUAACACAUGCAAGUCGAGCGGAAGAACAGUACGAGCUUCCGCUUACGGGGGGCGAGGGGCGGGCGAGGGAGAGGUACAUGGGAGUCUACUUUGGCGAAGGGGAUGACGUGGGGGAAAAUACGGUAUUCCCGCAGACGACCAACGGGGGGGAUCAUCGGAUCUUAGGACAUUACAUGAGUCGAUGUCGGAUUAGCUAGUUGGCGGGGUAAAGGCCCACCAAGGCGACGAUCCGUAGCUGGUCUGAGAGGAUGAUCAGACACACUGGAACUGAGACACGGUCCAGACUCCUACGGGAGGCAGCAGUGGGGAAUAUUGGACAAUGGGCACAAGCCUGAUCCAGCCAUACCGCGUGGGUGAAGAAGGCCUUCGGGUUGUAAAGCCCUUUUGGUGGGAAAGAAAAGCAGUAGGUUAAUACCCCGCUGUUUUGACGGUACCCAAAGAAUAAGCACCGGCUAACUUCGUG
RNAcentral lists this ribosomal RNA (484 nucleotides) under uncultured bacterium. RNAcentral's name for it is "partial 16S ribosomal RNA". It matches the Rfam family "Bacterial small subunit ribosomal RNA", at positions 29 to 507 of the family's 1533-position model. The record is from RNAcentral.